UAUAUAUAUGUGUGUGUGUGUGUGUGUGUGUGUGUGUACACACACACACACACACACACAUAUAUACACA
Molecule: non-coding RNA, 70 nt
Organism: Podarcis lilfordi (Lilford's wall lizard)
Lineage: Eukaryota; Metazoa; Chordata; Lepidosauria; Squamata; Lacertidae
Source: the annotation of a GenBank genome assembly